UUUGGGGAAGUUUGAGGAAGUUUGAGGUGUGUGAGUCAGUGCUAACUAGAUGAAAUAGAGGUAGGUGUGUGAGUCAGUGCUAACUAGAUGAAAUAGAGGUAGGUGUGUGAGUCAGUGCUAACCAGAUGAAAUAGAGGUAGGUGUGUGAGUCAGUGCUAACUAGAUGAAAUAGAGGAAGGUUUGUGAGUCAGUGCUAACUAGAUGAAAUAGAGGUAGGUUUGUGAGUCAGUGCUAACUAGAUGAAAUAGAGGUAGGUGUGUGAGUCAGUGCUAACUAGAUGAAAUAGAGGUAGGUGUGUGAGUCAGUGCUAACUAGAUGAAAUAGAGGUAAGUGUGUGAGUCAGUGCUAACUAGAUGAAAUAGAGGUAGG
This is a long non-coding RNA of Oncorhynchus gorbuscha (pink salmon), 369 nucleotides long. RefSeq lists it as uncharacterized. The record is from RefSeq and is a predicted model, not a curated record. The transcript has 3 exons. NCBI's taxonomy places the organism in Eukaryota, Metazoa, Chordata, Actinopteri, Salmoniformes, Salmonidae.